This is a long non-coding RNA of Oncorhynchus gorbuscha (pink salmon), 463 nucleotides long. RefSeq lists it as uncharacterized. NCBI's taxonomy places the organism in Eukaryota, Metazoa, Chordata, Actinopteri, Salmoniformes, Salmonidae. The record is from RefSeq and is a predicted model, not a curated record. The transcript is spliced from 5 exons.
AGAAGUCAAAGAAGGGAGGCGCACAGCAGGAGGAGAAGAAAGAGGAGAUCCGCAGUCUUCAGGAGCAGCUGGCUGCCUUGAAGGAGAUCAGUGUGUCAAAAAGGCUCCCCAAAACAACCUGGCAGAUGCAGGAGAUGACCAGUCUUCAGUUGUCAACCACUUCGACAAGAUGCGUCCUUCACUGAAGAUGGACUGGACCUGCACUAUUGCUGCGCCGCUGUGACCAAUGUAGACAGGUGGUUGAGAUAAUCAGCCUCACAGAGCACCUGUUGGGGGAGUGUGAGAACAGGGCUGGGUUCAGCCAGUGCCCCCGGUGCUCAGAGGCCGUGCUCACGGACAAGCUCACCCGCCACACCCAGAGCCCUGUCUGCAACAGCCUGGAAGGCUCACCUCAUGGGCAGAGAGGGCUGUAAACAGAACUCACGGAGGACUGUGGUAUCGCAGUGAGCCCAGCAGGCACAAG